Molecule: long non-coding RNA, 919 nt
Filed under: Heterocephalus glaber (naked mole-rat)
Lineage: Eukaryota; Metazoa; Chordata; Mammalia; Rodentia; Bathyergidae
Description: lncRNA (ENSHGLG00100050621.1)
Source: RNAcentral
GGGAAGAUGGCGGGCCGCAGGCUCGCGGGGACCCUCUGAUGGAGCAGUGGGUGCCUGUGACCCCUGAGACCCUCUCAGAGGCGCUGAUAUGUGCCGAAAUGCCCACUCCAAACCGGGCCCCGCACUGUCUGCAGCCACAGAAGAGGUAAGGAGAGCUGGCUGCAAGCUCAGAUCUCUUUGAAAGAGUUUAUGAGUGUGUUUACUUCAGGAAUGCCGAUCCCCUAAACUCAGCAAGACCAAUGAGAUGGAAGAAGCAGCUUGUGGAGACACUGCUUGGAUACAGCCACUGACCUACUCAGCUGGAAGCAGGGAGAGAAGAGGGUGGUGACCCAACUGGAGAUAAGAAUGAAGUAGACUUAGGAGCAGAAGCUGUUGAUUUGGUUCUAAAGACAGGAUGGACGCUUGUGGUUUCUAGCAACCCACCAGUAGACAGGUUUUUAGACACUUGAAAUGUGAAUCUCAACUGAGGACACUGUUUGGGUGGUGCUCAGUCUGUAAGUGGUGGUAAAAACCAUUAACUCCGUUUCAGGAGUCAUGAGAGGUGUAGAAAGAGGAACGGUGAUCAGAAUCUAACAAGAACAACUGCCUUAGGUUGUAGGCUUUCCUAUAGAAGAAACUCACGAACAAUGUUAUCGUAUCGAUGCUGUGCAACCAAAGAAAGCCAUGUUAAUCUGCAGUUCACACACCCUAAGUAUGUUACGUAAUUCUUUUACUCACAAUGAAAUAUGCUAAGGAAAGAAAAUAGACAGAACUUGAAUCCUUACAUCCAAUAAAUUCUCAAUAAAAGCAUAAAAACCUCAAUACCUCCAAUUCCUUUUCAGAAUACGAUGUAGAUCUAUUUAUGUUAACCAUGAGCAGGAAAUGUGACUUUUAAAAAAUUUCUUACCAACAUUGGAGUGAAGUGAACCAAAAGAAAGAG